UACGUAGGGCGCAAGCGUUGUCCGGAAUUAUUGGGCGUAAAGAGCUCGUAGGCGGCCUGUCACGUCUGCUGUGAAAUCCCGGGGCUUAACCCCGGGCGUGCAGUGGAUACGGGCUGGCUGGAGGCAGGCAGGGGAGAACGGAAUUCCCGGUGUAGCGGUGAAAUGCGCAGAUAUCGGGAGGAACACCGGUGGCGAAGGCGGUUCUCUGGGCCUGUACUGACGCUGAGGGGCGAAAGCGUGGGGAGCGAACAGGAUUAGAUACCCGGGUAGUCC
Molecule: ribosomal RNA, 273 nt
Filed under: uncultured Acidothermus sp.
Lineage: Bacteria; Bacillati; Actinomycetota; Actinomycetes; Acidothermales; Acidothermaceae
Description: partial 16S ribosomal RNA
Rfam family: Bacterial small subunit ribosomal RNA
Source: RNAcentral